RNAcentral lists this long non-coding RNA (513 nucleotides) under Nicotiana benthamiana. RNAcentral's name for it is "long non-coding RNA (NBEN_LNC020403)". The record is from RNAcentral. Lineage: Eukaryota; Viridiplantae; Streptophyta; Magnoliopsida; Solanales; Solanaceae.
AAGUAAGAAACAAUACAGAACAACCAUUGUUCUGUUUUAGUCACGACAAAAAAAAAAGGGGCUUAAAGCCUUAAAAGCCUAAAAUCAUACCAUUCAAACGAGAAUAGGCAGAACAAUCACGGCAAAAAGGAUAGAAAAGGCAACCAUACGAACGGCACCAAAAAGAAUUCUCCCGCAAACAGCGAAAAAUCACAGGGUUCUUCAUAACUCACUUAUUCUUGAAUUCGGGUAUGUAAAAUCCCCUAUUUUUAAUUACCCUAUAGUAAUAAUAGGUAAGAAUUGAAUAGCUAAUUCUCCUCUUUCUCUAUAUCAUCAAUAAAUUUCAUAAUUAGGUAUAGUACUUGAAAAUUAAUUAAAAUACACUGGUUGUUGUAGAAUCAAUUGUUUGACGGAUAUAAAUUGGACUGGAGUCUAUGUAUUGGCUCGAGAAGUUUUGAGGUGAGUUGAUAUAACUUUUUACUAAAGUGGUUUAACUCACAAAUGCACGCCUAUAAGGUGUUUGAUGAAUUGCUU